CCUACGGGUGGCUGCAGUGAGGAAUAUUGGUCAAUGGACUUAAGUCUGAACCAGCCAAGUCGCGUGCAGGAAGACGGCCCUAUGGGUUGUAAACCUCUUUUGUCCGGGGGCAAAUCCCGAUACGUGUAUCGGGUCUAAAGUAACGUACGAAAAAGCAUCGGCUAACUCCGUGCCCGCAGCCGCGGUAAUACGGAGGAUGCGAGCGUUAUCCGGAUUUAUUGGGUUUAAAGGGUGCGCAGGCGGAAGAUCAAGUCAGCGGUAAAAUUGAGAGGCUCAACCUCUUCGAGCCGUUGAAACUGGGUUUCUUGAGUGGGCGAGAAGUAUGCGGAAUGCGUGGUGUAGCGGUGAAAUGCAUAGAUAUCACGCAGAACUCCGAUUGCGAAGGCAGCAUACCGGCGCUCAACUGACGCUCAUGCACGAAAGUGUGGGUAUCGAACAGGAUUAGAUACCCUGGUAGUC
RNAcentral lists this ribosomal RNA (459 nucleotides) under uncultured bacterium. RNAcentral's name for it is "partial 16S ribosomal RNA". It matches the Rfam family "Bacterial small subunit ribosomal RNA", at positions 338 to 795 of the family's 1533-position model. The record is from RNAcentral.